UACGAAGGGUGCAAGCGUUACUCGGAAUUACUGGGCGUAAAGCGUGCGUAGGUGGUUUGUUAAGUCUGUUGUGAAAGCCCCGGGCUCAACCUGGGAAUGGCAAUGGAUACUGGCAGGCUAGAGUGCGGUAGAGGGUAGUGGAAUUCCCGGUGUAGCGGUGAAAUGCGUAGAGAUCGGGAGGAACACCGGUGGCGAAGGCGGUUCUCUGGGCCUUACCUGACGCUGAGGAGCGAAAGCGUGGGGAGCGAACAGG
RNAcentral lists this ribosomal RNA (253 nucleotides) under uncultured bacterium. RNAcentral's name for it is "partial 16S ribosomal RNA". It matches the Rfam family "Bacterial small subunit ribosomal RNA", at positions 524 to 776 of the family's 1533-position model. The record is from RNAcentral.